Long non-coding RNA from Bombyx mori (domestic silkworm), 993 nucleotides. RefSeq lists it as uncharacterized. NCBI's taxonomy places the organism in Eukaryota, Metazoa, Arthropoda, Insecta, Lepidoptera, Bombycidae. The record is from RefSeq and is a predicted model, not a curated record. The transcript is spliced from 3 exons.
CGGCCGUUUUCAAUAACCUAUCUAUCCCUAGUUUCGGUUACUAAAGAUAGACAAAUCUAUAUUUUUGUCCUUACUUACGUUCCAAUAACCUAUCGACGGGCAGCAGUUCCUAUCGGAUUUAUCUAUCCAUCGUCGGGAGGACGGAUAGCCUGCUAAAGAUAGAACGUUCAUACAAAUCGUGCUUACUUCCGUUUCAAUAUGAGUUUUAAGUAACUCUCCGGUAGGCGGCGCUAUCUCUAGUAUGGGCAUUCGCUUAUCUGUCAAAAUCGGCCGGUUACAUGUUUAUCUUUCGAAAGUAAAUCGCUAUAAUUUAAUAAUUGUUUCUCUUCAUAUUGGCAUAUUGUAGCAGUGAUGAUAGUGAUAUGGAAUUAUUUCAAAUGAUAAUGGAUUGUGAUGCAGAUAGUGAUAGUGAGGCCGAUAUCAUAUGGUUAGGAAAAUAAAGAUCGUCUGAAUUACAUGGCGAAGAUCAAUAAUUACGAAUUUGACUAUAGAUUUCUGAGCAAAGGUGUUGUGAAUGAAUUGAUUAAUUUAAUGAGACCAUAUUUGAGUGUAACGUCAAAAAGAUUCAAAUAUAGGAGAGGAAUUUAGAAAUAGAAAAAGAGUAUUUUGAAUGUGCAAUUUGUGUGCAAUGCAUCAUUGAUGUUUCAAAAUGUUGUUGCUUGAUGGCCUGGGUCUACUCAUGAUACAACUAUAAUUAACCAUUCCGAUUGAAAAGAUGCAUUGGUGUUUGUAAAAGAAGACUCCCUGUAUAUCAUUGAAAAGUAGAUUAAAACUAGAAAAUAUGCAAGCUGUUAUUAUAGCUGCCAUGCUGCAUAAUAUCGUCAGAAGUAUGAAUUUAGAAGAAUUAGAAUUAGAAAUUUCAGUCGCAGAUACAUUACAGGAAAAUAAUAUAAUUGUUCGUAACAAUUUUUCAAAACUUACAUCUGAAAUACAACUAUGUACUUAUAAAUAAUUGCUUCCAAAGAUAAUUUAUAAAAUAAACUCCAAAGAUAA